AUGAACUAUAAAACCAAAUUUGGUCUUGUUGCUUGUUCCUCAGGUGAACCUAACACGGUUGAAGAAGCCCUUGGAGAUCCCCGGUGGAAGAAAGCCAUGGAAGAAGAAUACAUGGCACUACAAAAAAACAGAACAUGGCAUUUGGUUCCCCCACGACGAGGUAAAAACAUAAUUGAUUGCAAGUGGGUUUUCAGAAUUAAAAAGAAAUCUGACGGAACCAUAGACCGCUAUAAAGCUAAACUCGUUGCAAAAGGAUUCAAACAACGAUAUGGUAUAGAUUAUGAGGACACUUUUAGUCAUGUGGUUAAGGCUGCUACUAUUCGGCUUGUGUUGUCUAUUGCUGUUUUCAGGGGAUGGUGCCUUAGACAGCUAGAUGUACAGAACGCGUUUUUUCAUGGUGUUCUGGAAGAGGAAGUGUAUAUGAGACAACCUCCUGGGUUUGUAAACAAAAACUCACCAUAUCAUGUGUGCAAAUUUGAUAAAGCUUUAUAUGGACUCAAGCAGGCCCCUAGAGCAUGGUACUCACGCUUAAGUCAGAAGCUGCAGGCACUUGGUUUUGUUUCUUCCAAGUCUGACACGUCACUGUUUAUUUACAAUAAGUCUAAUACAUCCAUAUUUGUACUCAUAUAUGUUGAUGAUAUUAUUGUUAUAAACUCAUCUGACAAGGCAGUGACAGGAUUAUUGAAAGACUUGAGUGCUGAGUUUGCCCUCAAGGAUUUGGGAGAUUUGCAUUUCUUCUUAGGGAUUGAAGUCAAGAAACAUGAUGAUGGUCUUCAUCUCUCUCAGGAAAAUUAUGCUACUGAUCUGGUGAGAAGAGCCGGCCUUCAAGGAUGUAAGCCCUCACCAACUCCUUUAUCCAGCUCAGAAAAAUUGCCUCUCACAGAAGGAGAUCUUUUGAACCAAGUUGAUAGUACAAAUUACAUAAGCUUAGUAGGAGCACUACAGUACUUGACAUAUACAAGGCCUGAUAUUUCCUUUGCUGUUAACAAAGUAUGCCAGUUUCUCCAUGCACCUACCACAGUUCACUGGACAACUGCAAAACGUAUAGUGAGAUAUGUGAAAGGUACCAUGAAUCUUGGAUUGACCUUCAACAGAUCUUCAUCUACUCUUGUUAGUGCCUUUUCUGAUUCAGACUGGGCAGGAUGUCUGGAUGACAGACGUUCUACUUAUGGGUUUGCAAUAUUCUUUGGACCUAACCUUAUAUUAUGGUGUGCAAAGAAACAGGCUACUGUGUCCAGGUCAAGUACAGAAGCUGAGUACAAGGCACUUGCAGAUGCCACAGUAGAAAUCAUUUGGGUUCAGUCUAUGUUAAAAGAACUUGGACUAAAACCCACACAGGUUCCCUGCUUAUGGCGUGAUAAUCUUGGUUCUACCUAUCUGUCUGCUAACCCUGUGUUCCAUGCAAGAACAAAACACAUUGAGAUCGAUUUUCAUUUUGUCAGAGAACGAGUUGCUAAUCGACAGUUGGAGAUUCGUUUUGUUCACUCUAGAGACCAGGUUGCAGAUGGCUUCACAAAAGCAUUGCCUACAAGGAACUUUAAUGAAUUCAAACGUAAUCUCAAUCUCAUGGAGUUGUGA
RNAcentral lists this ribosomal RNA (1578 nucleotides) under Triticum aestivum (bread wheat). RNAcentral describes it as "partial small subunit ribosomal RNA". The record is from RNAcentral. Lineage: Eukaryota; Viridiplantae; Streptophyta; Magnoliopsida; Poales; Poaceae.